Molecule: ribosomal RNA, 1154 nt
Filed under: Escherichia coli
Lineage: Bacteria; Pseudomonadati; Pseudomonadota; Gammaproteobacteria; Enterobacterales; Enterobacteriaceae
Description: partial 23S ribosomal RNA
Rfam family: Bacterial large subunit ribosomal RNA
Source: RNAcentral
UUGUGAGGUUAAGCGACUAAGCGUACACGGUGGAUGCCCUGGCAGUCAGAGGCGAUGAAGGACGUGCUAAUCUGCGAUAAGCGUCGGUGAGGUGAUAUGAACCGUUAUAACCGGCGAUUUCCGAAUGGGGAAACCCAGUGUGUUUCGACACACUAUCAUUAACUGAAUCCAUAGGUUAAUGAGGCGAACCGGGGGAACUGAAACAUCUAAGUACCCCGAGGAAAAGAAAUCAACCGAGAUUCCCCCAGUAGCGGCGAGCGAACGGGGAGGAGCCCAGAGCCUGAAUCAGUGUGUGUGUUAGUGGAAGCGUCUGGAAAGGCGCGCGAUACAGGGUGACAGCCCCGUACACAAAAAUGCACAUAUUGUGAGCUCGAUGAGUAGGGCGGGACACGUGGUAUCCUGUCUGAAUAUGGGGGGACCAUCCUCCAAGGCUAAAUACUCCUGACUGACCGAUAGUGAACCAGUACCGUGAGGGAAAGGCGAAAAGAACCCCGGCGAGGGGAGUGAAAAAGAACCUGAAACCGUGUACGUACAAGCAGUGGGAGCCUCUUAAUGGGGUGACUGCGUACCUUUUGUAUAAUGGGUCAGCGACUUAUAUUCUGUAGCAAGGUUAACCGAAUAGGGGAGCCGAAGGGAAACCGAGUCUUAACUGGGCGUUAAGUUGCAGGGUAUAGACCCGAAACCCGGUGAUCUAGCCAUGGGCAGGUUGAAGGUUGGGUAACACUAACUGGAGGACCGAACCGACUAAUGUUGAAAAAUUAGCGGAUGACUUGUGGCUGGGGGUGAAAGGCCAAUCAAACCGGGAGAUAGCUGGUUCUCCCCGAAAGCUAUUUAGGUAGCGCCUCGUGAAUUCAUCUCCGGGGGUAGAGCACUGUUUCGGCAAGGGGGUCAUCCCGACUUACCAACCCGAUGCAAACUGCGAAUACCGGAGAAUGUUAUCACGGGAGACACACGGCGGGUGCUAACGUCCGUCGUGAAGAGGGAAACAACCCAGACCGCCAGCUAAGGUCCCAAAGUCAUGGUUAAGUGGGAAACGAUGUGGGAAGGCCCAGACAGCCAGGAUGUUGGCUUAGAAGCAGCCAUCAUUUAAAGAAAGCGUAAUAGCUCACUGGUCGAGUCGGCCUGCGCGGAAGAUGUAACGGGGCUAAACCAUG